ACGGGGCCCGCACAAGCGGUGGAGCAUGUGGUUUAAUUCGACGCAACGCGAAGAACCUUACCAGGGCUUGACAUCCCCUGACCGCGUAUGAAAGUACGUUUUCACCCUCGGGUGACAGGGAGACAGGUGGUGCAUGGUUGUCGUCAGCUCGUGUCGUGAGAUGUUGGGUUAAGUCCCGCAACGAGCGCAACCCCUACGUUUAGUUGCUAACAGGUGAAGCUGAGCACUCUAGACGAACUGCCGUUGACAAAACGGAGGAAGGUGGGAUGACGUCAAAUCAUCAUGCCCCUUAUGUUCUGGGCUACACACGUGCUACAAUGGCCGGUACAGACGGAGGCGAAGCCGCGAGGCGGAGCAAAUCCGAAAAAGCCGGUCUCAGUUCGGAUUGCAGGCUGCAAUUCGCCUGCAUGAAGUCGGAAUCGCUAGUAAUCGCAGGUCAGCAUACUGCGGUGAAUACGUUCCCGGGCCUU
This 470-nucleotide ribosomal RNA is filed under the name uncultured Pelotomaculum sp. Its description in RNAcentral is "bacterial SSU rRNA". It matches the Rfam family "Bacterial small subunit ribosomal RNA", at positions 916 to 1381 of the family's 1533-position model. Lineage: Bacteria; Bacillati; Bacillota; Clostridia; Eubacteriales; Desulfotomaculaceae. The record is from RNAcentral.